AGUGAACGCUGGCGGUAGGCCUAACACAUGCAAGUCGAACGGCAGCACAGGAGAGCUUGCUCUCUGGGUGGCGAGUGGCGGACGGGUGAGGAAUACAUCGGAAUCUACUCUGUCGUGGGGGAUAACGUAGGGAAACUUACGCUAAUACCGCAUACGACCUACGGGUGAAAGCAGGGGAUCUUCGGACCUUGCGCGAUUGAAUGAGCAGAUGUCGGGUUAGCUCGUUGGCGGGGUAAAGGCCCACCAAGGCGACGAUCCGUAGCUGGUCUGAGAGGAUGAUCAGCCAGACUGUAAAGGAGACACGGUCCAGAGUCCUACGGGAGGCAGCAGUGGGGAAUAUUGGACAAUGGGCGCAAGCCUGAUCCAGCCAUACCGCGUGGGUGAAGAAGGCCUUCGGGUUGUAAAGCCCUUUUGUUGGGAAAGAAAUCCAGCUGGCUAAUACCCGGUUGGGAUGACGGUACCCAAAGAAUAAGCACCGGCUAACUUCGUGCCAGCAGCCGCGGUAA
RNAcentral lists this ribosomal RNA (506 nucleotides) under uncultured bacterium. RNAcentral's name for it is "partial 16S ribosomal RNA". It matches the Rfam family "Bacterial small subunit ribosomal RNA", at positions 29 to 523 of the family's 1533-position model. The record is from RNAcentral.